RNAcentral lists this ribosomal RNA (492 nucleotides) under uncultured bacterium. RNAcentral describes it as "partial 16S ribosomal RNA". It matches the Rfam family "Bacterial small subunit ribosomal RNA", at positions 29 to 507 of the family's 1533-position model. The record is from RNAcentral.
AGUGAACGCUGGCGGUAGGCCUAACACAUGCAAGUCGAACGGCAGCACAGUAAGAGCUUGCUCUUACGGGUGGCGAGUGGCGGACGGGUGAGGAAUACAUCGGACUCUACUUUUUCGUGGGGGAUAACGUAGGGAAACUUACGCUAAUACCGCAUACGACCUACGGGUGAAAGCAGGGGAUCUUCGGACCUUGCGCGAUUGAAUGAGCCGAUGUCGGAUUAGCUAGUUGGCGGGGUAAAGGCCCACCAAGGCGACGAUCCGUAGCUGGUCUGAGAGGAUGAUCAGCCACACUGGAACUGAGACACGGUCCAGACUCCUACGGGAGGCAGCAGUGGGGAAUAGUGGACAAUGGGCGCAAGCCUGAUCCAGCCAUACCGCGUGGGUGAAGAAGGCCUUCGGGUUGUAAAGCCCUUUUGUUGGGAAAGAAAAGCAGCAGGUUAAUACCCCGCUGUUCUGACGGUACCCAAAGAAUAAGCACCGGCUAACUUCGUG